GGGUCAGUAGAUUGGUCGUGCCACUGGUAUGUACUGGUCUUACUGGCUCCUCCUUCCUGAUGAACCGUAAUGCCAUUAAUUUGGUGUUGCGGGGAGACUGGACUGUUACUUUGAAAAAAUUAGAGUGUUUAAAGCAAGCUUUGGCUUGAAUACAUUAGCAUGGAAUAAUGGAAUAGGACGUUCGAUCUUAUUUUGUUGGUUUCUAGGAUUGACGUA
Molecule: ribosomal RNA, 216 nt
Filed under: uncultured fungus
Lineage: Eukaryota; Fungi
Description: partial small subunit ribosomal RNA
Rfam family: Eukaryotic small subunit ribosomal RNA (bases 51-216)
Source: RNAcentral